GGGUUGUGAGGUUAAGCGACUAAGCGUACACGGUGGAUGCCCUGGCAGUCAGAGGCGAUGAAGGACGUGCUAAUCUGCGAUAAGCGCCGGUAAGGUGAUAUGAACCGUUAUAACCGGCGAUUUCCGAAUGGGGAAACCCAGUGUGAUUCGUCACACUAUCAUUAACUGAAUCCAUAGGUUAAUGAGGCGAACCGGGGGAACUGAAACAUCUAAGUACCCCGAGGAAAAGAAAUCAACCGAGAUUCCCCCAGUAGCGGCGAGCGAACGGGGAGGAGCCCAGAGCCUGAAUCAGCAUGUGUGUUAGUGGAAGCGUCUGGAAAGGCGCGCGAUACAGGGUGACAGCCCCGUACACAAAAGCGCAUGUGCUGUGAGCUCGAUGAGUAGGGCGGGACACGUGGUAUCCUGUCUGAAUAUGGGGGGACCAUCCUCCAAGGCUAAAUACUCCUGACUGACCGAUAGUGAACCAGUACCGUGAGGGAAAGGCGAAAAGAACCCCGGCGAGGGGAGUGAAAAAGAACCUGAAACCGUGUACGUACAAGCAGUGGGAGCACCCUUCGGGGUGUGACUGCGUACCUUUUGUAUAAUGGGUCAGCGACUUAUAUUCUGUAGCAAGGUUAACCGUAUAGGGGAGCCGGAGGGAAACCGAGUCUUAAUUGGGCGUUAAGUUGCAGGGUAUAGACCCGAAACCCGGUGAUCUAGCCAUGGGCAGGUUGAAGGUUGGGUAACACUAACUGGAGGACCGAACCGACUAAUGUUGAAAAAUUAGCGGAUGACCUGUGGCUGGGGGUGAAAGGCCAAUCAAACCGGGAGAUAGCUGGUUCUCCCCGAAAGCUAUUUAGGUAGCGCCUCGUGAAUUCAUCUCCGGGGGUAGAGCACUGUUUCGGCUAGGGGGCCAUCCCGGCUUACCAACCCGAUGCAAACUGCGAAUACCGGAGAAUGUUAUCACGGGAGACACACGGCGGGUGCUAACGUCCGUCGUGAAGAGGGAAACAACCCAGACCGCCAGCUAAGGUCCCAAAGUCAUGGUUAAGUGGGAAACGAUGUGGGAAGGCCCAGACAGCCAGGAUGUUGGCUUAGAAGCAGCCAUCAUUUAAAGAAAGCGUAAUAGCUCACUGGUCGAGUCGGCCUGCGCGGAAGAUGUAACGGGGCUAAACCAUGCACCGAAGCUGCGGCAGCGAACGUAUCACCCAAGACAACUUUACGGAGUUGACGAUUGACGGAGCGAAGCGACGUCAAAGCGUUCAUUAAAGUCGAGUUGGCUUAGGGAUACGUUCGUUGGGUAGGGGAGCGUUCUGUAAGCCUGUGAAGGUGUGUCGUGAGGCAUGCUGGAGGUAUCAGAAGUGCGAAUGCUGACAUAAGUAACGAUAAAGCGGGUGAAAAGCCCGCUCGCCGGAAGACCAAGGGUUCCUGUCCAACGUUAAUCGGGGCAGGGUGAGUCGACCCCUAAGGCGAGGCCGAAAGGCGUAGUCGAUGGGAAACGGGUUAAUAUUCCCGUACUUGGUGUUACUGCGAAGGGGGGACGGAGAAGGCUAUGUUGGCCGGGCGACGGUUGUCCCGGUUUAAGCGUGUAGGUGUGUGUUCCAGGUAAAUCCGGUUCACUUUAACACUGAGGCGUGACGACGAGGCACUACGGUGCUGAAGCAACAAAUGCCCUGCUUCCAGGAAAAGCCUCUAAGCAUCAGGUAACAUCAAAUCGUACCCCAAACCGACACAGGUGGUCAGGUAGAGAAUACCAAGGCGCUUGAGAGAACUCGGGUGAAGGAACUAGGCAAAAUGGUGCCGUAACUUCGGGAGAAGGCACGCUGACACGUAGGUGAAGUGAUUUACUCAUGGAGCUGAAGUCAGUCGAAGAUACCAGCUGGCUGCAACUGUUUAUUAAAAACACAGCACUGUGCAAACACGAAAGUGGACGUAUACGGUGUGACGCCUGCCCGGUGCCGGAAGGUUAAUUGAUGGGGUCAGCGCAAGCGAAGCUCCUGAUCGAAGCCCCGGUAAACGGCGGCCGUAACUAUAACGGUCCUAAGGUAGCGAAAUUCCUUGUCGGGUAAGUUCCGACCUGCACGAAUGGCGUAAUGAUGGCCAGGCUGUCUCCACCCGAGACUCAGUGAAAUUGAACUCGCUGUGAAGAUGCAGUGUACCCGCGGCAAGACGGAAAGACCCCGUGAACCUUUACUAUAGCUUGACACUGAACAUUGAGCCUUGAUGUGUAGGAUAGGUGGGAGGCUUUGAAGUGUGGACGCCAGUCUGCAUGGAGCCGACCUUGAAAUACCACCCUUUAAUGUUUGAUGUUCUAACGUGGACCCGUUACCCGGGUUGCGGACAGUGUCUGGUGGGUAGUUUGACUGGGGCGGUCUCCUCCUAAAGAGUAACGGAGGAGCACGAAGGUUGGCUAAUCCUGGUCGGACAUCAGGAGGUUAGUGCAAUGGCAUAAGCCAGCUUGACUGCGAGCGUGACGGCGCGAGCAGGUGCGAAAGCAGGUCAUAGUGAUCCGGUGGUUCUGAAUGGAAGGGCCAUCGCUCAACGGAUAAAAGGUACUCCGGGGAUAACAGGCUGAUACCGCCCAAGAGUUCAUAUCGACGGCGGUGUUUGGCACCUCGAUGUCGGCUCAUCACAUCCUGGGGCUGAAGUAGGUCCCAAGGGUAUGGCUGUUCGCCAUUUAAAGUGGUACGCGAGCUGGGUUUAGAACGUCGUGAGACAGUUCGGUCCCUAUCUGCCGUGGGCGCUGGAGAACUGAGGGGGGCUGCUCCUAGUACGAGAGGACCGGAGUGGACGCAUCACUGGUGUUCGGGUUGUCAUGCCAAUGGCACUGCCCGGUAGCUAAAUGCGGAAGAGAUAAGUGCUGAAAGCAUCUAAGCACGAAACUUGCCCCGAGAUGAGUUCUCCCUGAGACUUAGAGUCUCCUGAAGGAACGUUGAAGACGACGACGUUGAUAGGCCGGGUGUGUAAGCGCAGCGAUGCGUUGAGCUAACCGGUACUAAUGAACCGUGAGGCUUAACCUUACAACGCCGAAG
RNAcentral lists this ribosomal RNA (3011 nucleotides) under Salmonella enterica subsp. enterica serovar Typhimurium. Its description in RNAcentral is "23S ribosomal RNA". It matches the Rfam family "Bacterial large subunit ribosomal RNA". The record is from RNAcentral. Lineage: Bacteria; Pseudomonadati; Pseudomonadota; Gammaproteobacteria; Enterobacterales; Enterobacteriaceae.